Molecule: non-coding RNA, 244 nt
Filed under: Schistosoma margrebowiei
Lineage: Eukaryota; Metazoa; Platyhelminthes; Trematoda; Strigeidida; Schistosomatidae
Description: Eukaryotic large subunit ribosomal RNA
Rfam family: Eukaryotic large subunit ribosomal RNA
Source: Rfam by way of RNAcentral
CCUCCGAAGUUUCCCUCAGGAUAGCUGGCAUUCUGAGAAAUAAACAGUUUUAUCCGGUAAAGCGAAUGAUUAGAGGCAUUGGGGAUAAAUCAUCCUCAACCUAUUCUCAAACUUUAAAUGGGUGAGAAGCUUAACUCGCUUAAUUGGAGUUUUGCAUUGAAUGUGAGUGCCAAGUGGGCCAUUUUUGGUAAGCAGAACUGGCGCUGUGGGAUGAACCAAACUCACUGCCUUCUCGUGGCGGGGG